RNAcentral lists this ribosomal RNA (429 nucleotides) under Actinomycetes bacterium. RNAcentral's name for it is "Actinobacteria bacterium partial 16S ribosomal RNA". It matches the Rfam family "Bacterial small subunit ribosomal RNA", at positions 355 to 776 of the family's 1533-position model. The record is from RNAcentral. Lineage: Bacteria; Bacillati; Actinomycetota; Actinomycetes.
UAGGGAAUCUUCCGCAAUGGGCGAAAGCCUGACGGAGCAACGCCGCGUGAGUGAUGAAGGUCUUCGGACCGUAAAACUCUGUUAUUAGGGAAGAACAAAUGUGUAAGUAACUAUGCACGUCUUGACGGUACCUAAUCAGAAAGCCACGGCUAACUACGUGCCAGCAGCCGCGGUAAUACGUAGGUGGCAAGCGUUAUCCGGAAUUAUUGGGCGUAAAGCGCGCGUAGGCGGUUUUUUAAGUCUGAUGUGAAAGCCCACGGCUCAACCGUGGAGGGUCAUUUGAAACUGGAAAACUUGAGUGCAGAAGAGGAAAGUGGAAUUCCAUGUGUAGCGGUGAAAUGCGCAGAGCUAUGGAGGAACACCAGUGGCGAAGGAGACUUUCUGGUCUGUAACUGACGCUGAUGUGCGAAAGCGUGGGGAUCAAACAGG